GAUGAACGCUAGCGGCAGGCCUAACACAUGCAAGUCGAGGGGUAGAGUUUCUUCGGAGACUUGAGACCGGCGCACGGGUGCGUAACGCGUAUGCAAUCUGCCCUUUACUGGGGAAUAGCCCGGAGAAAUUCGGAUUAAUGCCCCAUAUGCCCGUAGAAUCGCCUGAUUCAGCGGGGAAAGUUCCGACGGUAAAGGAUGAGCAUGCGUCCCAUUAGCUAGUUGGUGAGGUAACGGCUCACCAAGGCGACGAUGGGUAGGGGGCCUGAGAGGGUGAUCCCCCACACUGGUACUGAGACACGGACCAGACUCCUACGGGAGGCAGCAGUGAGGAAUAUUGGGCAAUGGAGGCAACUCUGACCCAGCCAUGCCGCGUGCAGGAAGACGGCCCUCUGGGUUGUAAACUGCUUUUGUUUGGGAAUAAACCCUUCUACGUGUAGGAGGCUGAAGGUACCAUACGAAUAAGGAAGUCGGCUAACUCCGUG
This 482-nucleotide ribosomal RNA is filed under the name uncultured bacterium. RNAcentral's name for it is "bacterial SSU rRNA". It matches the Rfam family "Bacterial small subunit ribosomal RNA", at positions 28 to 507 of the family's 1533-position model. The record is from RNAcentral.